UACGGAGGGUGCGAGCGUUGUCCGGAAUCACUGGGCGUAAAGGGCGCGUAGGUGGCCUGUGGAAGUCUGCGGUGGAAGCCCGGCGCUCAACGCCGGGGUCGGCCGUGGAUACUCUCGGGCUUGAGCUUACUAGAGGCAGAUGGAAUUCCGGGUGUAGCGGUGGAAUGCGUAGAGAUCCGGAGGAACACCGGUGGCGAAGGCGGUCGCUGGG
This 211-nucleotide ribosomal RNA is filed under the name uncultured bacterium. Its description in RNAcentral is "partial 16S ribosomal RNA". It matches the Rfam family "Bacterial small subunit ribosomal RNA", at positions 524 to 733 of the family's 1533-position model. The record is from RNAcentral.